UGGGGAAUAUUGGACAAUGGGCGCAAGCCUGAUUCAGCCAUGCCGCGUGAGUGAUGAAGGCCCUAGGGUUGUAAAGCUCUUUUGUGCGGGAAGAUAAUGACGGUACCGCAAGAAUAAGCCCCGGCUAACUUCGUGCCAGCAGCCGCGGUAAUACGAAGGGGGCUAGCGUUGCUCGGAAUCACUGGGCGUAAAGGGUGCGUAGGCGGGUCUUUAAGUCAGGGGUGAAAUCCUGGAGCUCAACUCCAGAACUGCCUUUGAUACUGAGGAUCUUGAGUUCGGGAGAGGUGAGUGGAACUGCGAGUGUAGAGGUGAAAUUCGUAGAUAUCGGGAGGAACACCAGUGGCGCAAGCGAUCACCUGGGCUAGACCUGACGCUGAGGGACGAAAGCGUGGGGAGCAAACGGGAUUAGAUACCCCGGUAGUCCACGCGGUAAACGAUGGAUACUAGGUGUGAGUGGUAUCGACCCCACUUGUGCCGCAGCUAACGCGUUAAGUAUCCCGCCUGGGGAGUACGGCCGCAAGGUUG
RNAcentral lists this ribosomal RNA (525 nucleotides) under uncultured bacterium. RNAcentral describes it as "bacterial SSU rRNA". It matches the Rfam family "Bacterial small subunit ribosomal RNA", at positions 355 to 896 of the family's 1533-position model. The record is from RNAcentral.